GAUACUUUCCAAUAAAAUUCCACAGAUGAGACCCUGAGUCAUGGUUUCUUUUAAACACUGCUACUACCAAUGUAUUAUCCUAAAAUAAACAUACAUGCUUUAUAUACAUUUCCAUACAUUUCAUUCAAUUAUUGUUAAAUUAAUAUUUACUGAAUAAGCCAUGUACUCGGCACAUUCUGUGAAAGUUAAUUUAACAAUAGAUUCGGUGGAAUGCUUGUAAGGAAUUUCAUCAAGAGGUUCCAGAGUGAUAGGAUGCAGUAACCAAAGUGUUCCAUUAUCAAGGCCACAUGCUAGUUCAUCACCUGUGUAUAUUUUAUAUUGAAGUAUUGUUACAUGUAUUAAAGUAAAUAGUUACUGAAUAAUCUUAUAUAUCCAGGAAUGAUAAGAUGCUUGCCUAUCGGUGAAUAUUUUAACACGGAAAUCGCAGAUUGUCUAUCGGGGCUUUGAGCACAGGUGACGUAAAUGAUAUUACCAUCUUUUAUUUGGUCAUCUAAUACCAAACUGACUAUAUAAUGACUUACGACAAGAAGUUAAUAUUAGAGGAUUUUGAAGAAAUUAUGGUCUCAUUGAAAAGGAAAGAAGGAUAUAGGUGUAACAGGUACCUUCGAGGAUGCGCGUCUAAACUGGUAACCGAUGCGUUCACAUCGUGUGAGUAAAAUCGACACUUCAACGUUGGAAUUUCCAUUAAUGCAAUUGCUCCAGUUGAGUCAGAUGUGCUGAUGGUAGAUACAGGACCCAACAACGUAGAUCGGAGAUCAAAACUAAUCGAUCGUAUAGAAUCCAGACCGCACUUAUCACACCAAUAAAGAAUCUUCAACUGAAGAUCGUAGAAGUUAAUUCGACCCUCCGAAGUUCCCGUCACUAUCAUUCUAAAAUCAUAAGUUCGAUAAAUAUUAUCGUAUAUAUAACUUCUUAUAUGUAUUAUAUUAACUGAAUCAAGUUCAAUAAUUACCCAUUAUGUUGCAGUAUUACAGUAAUGCUGCAUUUUUGCGUCCGUAUAGAUCUGAUAUGUUUCAUUUCUCCACCUCUAACAUUACUUCGUCCUUUCUCCAAAACUGCAUUCCAAACCAAAAUGUAUCCUCCAAAAAGGAACAAAAUAAUUAAAUUUUAAUUAUCUUAAAUUUAUUAAAUUUAAAUAUUUAAAUGGAUGUUUCACAAUACCGUUUGUCGUUGCUGUUAAUGCCCGAUUUGUUCCCGACACGUAACAGGAAGUAUUGAAGAUCCCGUAGCGUCGAGUGUUGCCACAAAUUUUUGGGUAAUUGCACUUCAAUUCGUCAUGUUGCUAAUUAAUCACAAAAAUUUGUAAUUAUUUUUACGAGGUAAAUAUCUGAUAUUAAAAUUUUAAUCGAAACAAUGAAGUGAAAUAACUAUAUAUUUAUAAAGGGUUUUAGGAUUCUGUUUUUAAAUACAAACCCAAAUAAAAAAUAUGACAUUAUGAUCGGCGGUCAAAGCAAAUGCCUCUGGAAAAUCUUCGUUGAAAGUUAUUUCUUUCACCCGAUCCGAAGUAAUUGCAUUCAGCUCUACGGUUGCUAUACAUUUUUUAAACAUUAUUAACAUCGCAGAAAUAUAAACGUGUAAUUUUUAAAUGAAUAUAGGAAAAAGUUCUACUGUAUUAUAUAUCCUAGGAUAAAGCUUUUAUUUAUUUCUAUAUCUUCUGUAUUA
Molecule: long non-coding RNA, 1662 nt
Organism: Hylaeus volcanicus
Lineage: Eukaryota; Metazoa; Arthropoda; Insecta; Hymenoptera; Colletidae
Exons: 4
Source: RefSeq, a predicted model, not a curated record